UUUGUUUCGCUCUAGUUGUGCAUUUUACAUUAUUUAUAAACCCCUAUAUGAUAAUUUAUUGAGCCUAAGUUAAUGAUCUGGAAUUUUCUUUUUUGUCAACUGCAUUUCCAUUAAAGGAAAUAGCCCCAUGGGCUUACAGAGGUAAGGGCUAAUAAACAAACAAGGCCAAACAAAAAUACAUAUUAUUUAAAAUUUAAAACCCAAAUAUGAAAACCAAAGAAACAAGUGUUCUUCGCCCAAACUAUUGACGAGACACGUAUGUAGGACACGCGUGUAUCAUGCAGAGCACAUCGGAGACGCUUCUCCUCCACCGUUUUCACACCGGAGAAACUCCUCCACCACCGCUCACGAUCGUCGGACUUCAACUCUUCUUCUUCUGUCUCACCCCUUCUAGUUUAUACCCCUUACCAGAACCUCUUCCGUUUUUAGCCGCCACUUGUAGAUGAAAUAUCCUCCAUCUCCAGUUGUUAAUCCAGGGAUUGCUCAACCAGAUCCAAAAGUAGAUCCUUUGUUGGACCGCUCAAUGAACGCCAAACUUUACUGAAUCACCUUUGAGAUGAUUGAGAUUAAUCCUUCGUUCAAGCCGGGUGAAGAGUAAUUUCCGCUGGAAAGAAAUCAAAGCAUAACUCUUGAAGUAGAAACUCCACCACAAGCAAAACGGGAUCUUGAGUUAAAA
Molecule: long non-coding RNA, 676 nt
Organism: Brassica oleracea var. oleracea
Lineage: Eukaryota; Viridiplantae; Streptophyta; Magnoliopsida; Brassicales; Brassicaceae
Exons: 2
Source: RefSeq, a predicted model, not a curated record